RNAcentral lists this ribosomal RNA (206 nucleotides) under uncultured bacterium. RNAcentral describes it as "partial 16S ribosomal RNA". It matches the Rfam family "Bacterial small subunit ribosomal RNA", at positions 568 to 774 of the family's 1533-position model. The record is from RNAcentral.
AGCGCAGGCGGUUUGAUAAGUCUGAAGUUAAAGGCUGUGGCUCAACCAUAGUUCGCUUUGGAAACUGUCAAACUUGAGUGCAGAAGGGGAGAGUGGAAUUCCAUGUGUAGCGGUGAAAUGCGUAGAUAUAUGGAAGAACACCAGUGGCGAAGGCGGCUGUCUGGUCUGUAACUGACGCUGAGGCUCGAAAGCAUGGGUAGCAAACA